GAAAUGCGAUACGUAAUGCGAAUUGCAGAAUUCAGUGAAUCAUCAAAUCUUUGAACGCAAAUUGCGCUUUCUGGAUAGGCCAGGGAGCAUGCUUCUUUGAGUCUCGCUUCUACCUCAUCUCGGCAGCUCUUUGUGAAUAACGAAGUUCGGCCGGAUAAUGAGCGUCUCAUUCGAAAUGAGUGAGUCGCUUUAAGAAGCGUGAGUUCCAAAACUCCUAGUACCAAAAGGCCGAGCAAUCGGUCUUUGCCUAUGUUUAGGUUUCAUUAACUACUAGUGACGUGGAUAAAUUUAUUUUUCAACGUUACAACGGUGGCUGAUGGCUUGAAUGUACGGUCAAGGUACACAUGGAAACCUGAAACUCAAUGGAAAUUAAAUUCUUUUUGAAUUCGAGCUCAAAUGA
Molecule: unclassified non-coding RNA, 400 nt
Filed under: uncultured fungus
Lineage: Eukaryota; Fungi
Description: sequence contains ITS1
Rfam family: 5.8S ribosomal RNA (bases 1-106)
Source: RNAcentral